UACGUAGGGGCCGAGCGUUGUCCGGAGUUACUGGGCGUAAAGCGCGCGCAGGCGGCCAUCUAAGCCCAGCGUGAAAGCCCCCGGCUCAACCGGGGAGGGUCGUUGGGGACUGGAUGGCUUGAGGACGGCAGGGGCCGGUGGAAUCCCCGGUGUAGUGGUGAAAUGCGUAGAGAUCGGGGGGAACACCGGUGGCGAAGGCGGUUCUCUGGGCAUGAUCUGACGCUGAGGAGCGAAAGUGUGGGGAGCGAACAGG
RNAcentral lists this ribosomal RNA (253 nucleotides) under uncultured bacterium. RNAcentral's name for it is "partial 16S ribosomal RNA". It matches the Rfam family "Bacterial small subunit ribosomal RNA", at positions 524 to 776 of the family's 1533-position model. The record is from RNAcentral.